Molecule: ribosomal RNA, 253 nt
Filed under: uncultured bacterium
Lineage: Bacteria
Description: partial 16S ribosomal RNA
Rfam family: Bacterial small subunit ribosomal RNA
Source: RNAcentral
UACGUAGGGUGCGAGCGUUGUCCGGAAUUAUUGGGCGUAAAGAGCUCGUAGGCGGCUUGUCGCGUCGUGUGUGAAAUCUCAGGGCUCAACUCUGACAUUGCAUACGAUACGGGCAGGCUUGAGUUCGGUAGGGGAGACUGGAAUUCCUGGUGUAGCGGUGAAAUGCGCAGAUAUCAGGAGGAACACCGGUGGCGAAGGCGGGUCUCUGGGCCGAUACUGACGCUGAGGAGCGAAAGCGUGGGGAGCGAACAGG